This 133-nucleotide ribosomal RNA is filed under the name Araneus ventricosus. Lineage: Eukaryota; Metazoa; Arthropoda; Arachnida; Araneae; Araneidae. The record is from RNAcentral.
CUCUGAGUAGUGGAUCACUGGGCUCACGGGUCGAUGAAUAACGCAGCCAGCUGUUAGAUUUGGUCUGAAUUGCAGGACACAUUGAGCACUGAUUUUUCGAGCGCACAUUGCGACCUCGGGUCCUGCCCGGGGC